ACUUGCGCAAUGGGCGAAAGCCUGACGCAGCAACGCCGCGUGGGGGAUGAAGGCCUUCGGGUUGUAAACCCCUUUCAGGAGGGAAGAAAUUGACGGUACCUCCAAAAGAAGGACCGGCCAACUACGUGCCAGCAGCCGCGGUAAUACGUAGGGUCCGAGCGUUAUCCGGAAUCAUUGGGCGUAAAGAGCUCGUAGGCGGUUCAGCAAGUCGGCUGUGAAAGUCCGGGGCUCAACCCCGGAAUUGCAGUCGAUACUGCUGUGACUCGAGUCCGGUAGAGGAGAACGGAAUUCCCGGUGUAGCGGUGAAAUGCGCAGAUAUCGGGAGGAACACCAGUAGCGAAGGCGGUUCUCUGGGCCGGCACUGACGCUGAGGAGCGAAAGCGUGGGGAGCAAACAGGAUUAGAUACCCUGGUAGUCCACGCCGUAAACUUUGGAUACUAGGUGUGGCGGUCUAUACCAACGACUGCUGUGCCGAAGCUAACGCAUUAAGUAUCCCGCCUGGGGAGUACGGCCGCAAGGCUA
This 522-nucleotide ribosomal RNA is filed under the name uncultured Actinomycetes bacterium. RNAcentral describes it as "bacterial SSU rRNA". It matches the Rfam family "Bacterial small subunit ribosomal RNA", at positions 362 to 896 of the family's 1533-position model. Lineage: Bacteria; Bacillati; Actinomycetota; Actinomycetes. The record is from RNAcentral.